Molecule: transfer RNA, 75 nt
Filed under: Dendronephthya gigantea
Lineage: Eukaryota; Metazoa; Cnidaria; Anthozoa; Malacalcyonacea; Nephtheidae
Description: tRNA-Arg
Rfam family: tRNA
About the family: Transfer RNA (tRNA) molecules are approximately 80 nucleotides in length. Their secondary structure includes four short double-helical elements and three loops (D, anti-codon, and T loops). Further hydrogen bonds mediate the characteristic L-shaped molecular structure. tRNAs have two regions of fundamental functional importance: the anti-codon, which is responsible for specific mRNA codon recognition, and the 3' end, to which the tRNAs corresponding amino acid is attached (by aminoacyl-tRNA synthetases). tRNAs cope with the degeneracy of the genetic code in two manners: having more than one tRNA (with a specific anti-codon) for a particular amino acid; and 'wobble' base-pairing, i.e. permitting non-standard base-pairing at the 3rd anti-codon position.
Source: RNAcentral
AGCCCUGUGGCCAAAUGGAUAAGGCGCGUCUGAUUACGGAUCAGAAGAUUCCAGGUUCGAAUCCUGGCGGGGUCG